Molecule: signal recognition particle RNA, 94 nt
Filed under: Clostridiales bacterium
Lineage: Bacteria; Bacillati; Bacillota; Clostridia; Eubacteriales
Description: signal recognition particle sRNA small type
Rfam family: Bacterial small signal recognition particle RNA
About the family: The signal recognition particle (SRP) is a universally conserved ribonucleoprotein involved in the co-translational targeting of proteins to membranes.
Source: RNAcentral
CGUUGGUCCUGUGCGAUGCGGCCCGUGAACCCCGUCAGGUCCGGAAGGAAGCAGCGGUAAGCGGAGUCUUUUGGGUGCCAUGGGGUCACUGGAC